AUUGAACGCUGGCGGCAUGCCUUACACAUGCAAGUCGAACGGCAGCACGGGAGCAAUCCUGGUGGCGAGUGGCGAACGGGUGAGUAAUAUAUCGGAACGUGCCCGGUCGUGGGGAUAACGUAGCGAAAGCUACGCUAAUACCGCAUACGAUCUACGGAUGAAAGCGGGGGAUCGCAAGACCUCGCGCGAUUGGAGCGGCCGAUAUCAGAUUAGGUAGUUGGUGAGGUAAAGGCUCACCAAGCCGACGAUCUGUAGCUGGUCUGAGAGGACGACCAGCCACACUGGGACUGAGACACGGCCCAGACUCCCUACGGGAGGCAGCAGUGGGGAAUUUUGGACAAUGGGCGCAAGCCUGAUCCAGCAACGCCGCGUGCAGGAUGAAGGCC
Molecule: ribosomal RNA, 386 nt
Filed under: uncultured bacterium
Lineage: Bacteria
Description: bacterial SSU rRNA
Rfam family: Bacterial small subunit ribosomal RNA
Source: RNAcentral